Molecule: ribosomal RNA, 496 nt
Filed under: uncultured bacterium
Lineage: Bacteria
Description: partial 16S ribosomal RNA
Rfam family: Bacterial small subunit ribosomal RNA
Source: RNAcentral
GAUGAACGCUGGCGGCGUGCCUAAUACAUGCAAGUCGAGCGAACAGAUGAGGAGCUUGCUCCUCUGACGUUAGCGGCGGACGGGUGAGUAACACGUGGAUAACCUACCUAUAAGACUGGGAUAACUUCGGGAAACCGGAGCUAAUACCGGAUAAUAUAUUGAACCGCAUGGUUCAAUAGUGAAAGACGGUUUUGCUGUCACUUAUAGAUGGAUCCGCGCCGCAUUAGCUAGUUGGUAAGGUAACGGCUUACCAAGGCAACGAUGCGUAGCCGACCUAAGGGGGGGAUCGGCAACACGGGAGCUGAGACGCGGUCCAGACCCCGACGGGAGGCAGCAGCAGGGAAUCUUCGGCAAGGGGCGAAAGCCUGACGGAGCAACGCCGCGUGAGUGAUGAAGGUCUUCGGAUCGUAAAACUCUGUUAUUAGGGAAGAACAAAUGUGUAAGUAACUAUGCACGUCUUGACGGUACCGAAUCAGAAAGCCCCGGCUACCUACGU